Molecule: ribosomal RNA, 439 nt
Filed under: uncultured bacterium
Lineage: Bacteria
Description: partial 16S ribosomal RNA
Rfam family: Bacterial small subunit ribosomal RNA
Source: RNAcentral
CUACGGGACGCACCAGUGAGGAAUAUUGCACAAUGGGGGGAACCCUGAUGCAGCAACGCCGCGUGGAGGAUGACGCAUUUCGGUGUGUAAACUCCUUUUAUAUGUCAAGAAAAUGACGGUAGCAUAUGAAUAAGCACCGGCUAACUCCGUGCCAGCAGCCGCGGUAAUACGGAGGGUGCAAGCGUUACUCGGAAUCACUGGGCAUAAAGGACGCGUAGGCGGGUUGGAAAGUCAGGUGUGAAAUCCUACAGCUUAACUGUAGAACUGCACUUGAAACUUCUAAUCUAGAGUAUGGGAGGGGGAGAUGGAAUUAGUGGUGUAGGGGUAAAAUCCGUAGAUAUCACUAGGAAUACCUAAAGCGAAGGCGAUCUCCUGGAACAUUACUGACGCUAAGGCGUGGAAGCGUGGGGAGCAAACAGGAUUAGAUACCCCAGUAGUC